RNAcentral lists this ribosomal RNA (190 nucleotides) under Clostridioides difficile. RNAcentral describes it as "partial 16S ribosomal RNA". It matches the Rfam family "Bacterial small subunit ribosomal RNA", at positions 1353 to 1533 of the family's 1533-position model. Lineage: Bacteria; Bacillati; Bacillota; Clostridia; Peptostreptococcales; Peptostreptococcaceae. The record is from RNAcentral.
AAUGCUGCGGUGAAUGCGUUCCCGGGUCUUGUACACACCGCCCGUCACACCACGGGAGUUGGAGACGCCCGAAGCCGAUUAUCUAACCUUUUGGAAGAAGUCGUCGAAGGUGGAAUCAAUAACUGGGGUGAAGUCGUAACAAGGUAGCCGUAUCGGAAGGUGCGGCUGGAUCACCUCCUUUCUAAGGAGA